AGUGAACGCUGGCGGUAGGCCUAACACAUGCAAGUCGAACGGCAGCACAGUAAGAGCUUGCUCGUACGGGUGGCGAGUGGCGGACGAGUGAGGAAUACAUCGGAAUCUACUUUUUCGUGGGGGAUAACGUAGGGAAACUUACGCUAAUACCGCAUACGACCUACGGGUGAAAGCAGGGCAUCUUCGGACCUUGCGCGAUUGAAUGAGCCGAUGUCGGAUUAGCUAGUUGGCGGGGUAAAGGCCCACCAAGGCGACGAUCCGUAGCUGGUCUGAGAGGAUGAUCAGCCACACUGGAACUGAGACACGGUCCAGACUCCUACGGGAGGCAGCAGUGGGGAAUAUUGGACAAUGGGCGCAAGCCUGAUCCAGCCAUACCGCGUGGGUGAAGAAGGCCUUCGGGUUGUAAAGCCCUUUUGUUGGGAAAGAAAAGCAGCAGGUUAAUACCCCGCUGUUCUGACGGUACCCAAAGAAUAAGCACCGGCUAACUUCGUG
RNAcentral lists this ribosomal RNA (492 nucleotides) under uncultured bacterium. RNAcentral describes it as "partial 16S ribosomal RNA". It matches the Rfam family "Bacterial small subunit ribosomal RNA", at positions 29 to 507 of the family's 1533-position model. The record is from RNAcentral.